Oncorhynchus keta (chum salmon) is the source of this 2971-nucleotide long non-coding RNA. RefSeq lists it as uncharacterized. The transcript is spliced from 3 exons. The record is from RefSeq and is a predicted model, not a curated record. Lineage: Eukaryota; Metazoa; Chordata; Actinopteri; Salmoniformes; Salmonidae.
CGGGGGAUGUGCUGAGGAGGCAGGUCUGAGAGAGGGGGACUACAUAGUGGCGGUGGAUGGAGAGAACUGUAAGUGGGCUAAACAUGGAGAGGUGGUCCACAGCCUGAAGAGCUGCAGUGACCGAGGAGUGGAGCUCAGCGUCAUCACACUGCACACACACGACACACAGGUGGAGAGGAGGUCAGUGAUGCUCUCCCCCAGAGGAGACAAAGAGAACGCUUGCCAACGGCCCAUGGGCGGGGCUAAGGCCCAGAGCUCCGUCUCCUUACUCAACUGGAACAGGAAGAAAAACAGGGAAGGGGGAGGAGUCACCAAGAGACUGGGCAGCACCUUCAGUCUGCCAUUUGGAAACCUGGGAGACGGUGAAUCCAUGUACUGAGAUAGACGGAGGGCAAGCUGAAAUGGUGCUUGAUUCCAUACAGUGCACUUCCAGCCAAAAGUAGUGCACUAGGGAGUAGGGUGCCAUUUCAGAUUGUGCUAUAGACAGACGAACCACUCAGGGAAUGGCAAAGGGACAUGUUCCAAUACAAGGAUGAGUUGUAUAUGACUGAUAGUCCUAGAUAUUGUAAUGCAUUAUUGCAGCAAUUGCAAGGAACAUUCCGAAUAGGAGUAUUCUACUAAGAGAAGAGGAGGGGAUGCUAUGUCCAGAUGCCCAGGGAAACUACAGUGGUUUUAGAAAGCACCCAACUGCAGGUAUAUGUCACUGAAGGGGUUAAGAGCAUCAUGUAAAAUUGUCUUAAAAUAGACUAAUAGUUGUGGCACAGUAUUAUUGUAGCUGACUUACAAUACAGCUAAAGGUCUUUAGAGAGUUGAAAGAAAAUAAACUGGACUUACUGUCAAACUACAGCCUCUGGUCUUACGACAAUGUCAUCAUGUUGUUUUAAUGUUGAAAACGUGUUGUUUUAAUGUUGAAAACGUGUUGUUUUAAUGUUGAUAACGUGUUGUUUUAAUGUUGAAAACGUGUCGUUUUAAUGUUGAAAACGUGUCGUUUUACUUUACUGUUUACUGUAUCCCAGAGUCUUGCUUUUCCACUCCGGUCUUAAUGAGGUUACUCUCAACAGUAAAACAACAGCCACACCUACAUCCAUUCAGUACCUGAGCUCUUACUUCCUCAAGCUGUGAAUCUUCUUUUUUGUUGUUGUAAGAUUUAAAUUUUAUUUGAUGUUUAACACACAAAUGACAUCACACAAACAUCAACUACAUCACACCUGCCCAGACUUAUUAGCACACACACCCCCCAUCUCCAGUGCCCGCAUAAUUUUCCACCACAUGACCUCAAACUGCAUCAUUAUUAUUAUCUCUCCGUAGCCCACUCACUCUAAAUGUUUUACAAUAAAUCAUUUGAUUUUUCCAUUGUGUUAACGAUGCCGAAUUAAUUGAUUUCCACAUUUUUAAUAUACGUUUUUUGCAAAAUGAUUGAUGAGAAAAGAAUCGUCCAGCCCAUUGGGUAUCUCACAACACCCCAUGUCUUGAAAUAUGCAUACUUCUAGAUGAAGAGUAACAUUGUAAUACUUCUGACAGCCAACUUUAUUAGCUCCGCCCGCAAAAAAACGGGAUUAUUGAGUCAUUGCAUGCGUUUGUAAAUUCACUCGACUCCGAUUUCAGAGCUCUCUGGACUGAGUGCGCCAGAGUGCAGAAUAACUGAUGAAUUUUACCAACAUUUUAAUAUGAACGGUGUCGGUAAACAUCAGCAAAAAAAAAGUAAUUAAAUUGUUGCCAGCAGCACAGUUACGGUCACCAACGCUCUAGACAACAUGAACCAGCUUUGCCAGGGUGAAUAAGAUGGUCAGAAUGAGGUGUUCUCUCAUUAUGUCUGGAAGUACAGUGGCUAGCAAGCUAGCCAACUUUAGCCACUUUGCUUGAGUGCUUGACUGUCGUUGUGAGAGGUCAGAACAUUCGGAUGAACUUUACUCCUCAGCCAGAGCGUCCAGUGUGCGCUCUGAACGCUCAGAGAGCGAAACACUGAAUUUGCCAUUAACAAUGGACAAUCUGAUAUCCGUUCUGAAUAUUAGGAACACCCAGAGCGCACUCUGAGCUCACACUCUGGCACUCCAGAGUGAAAUCAUGAACACACCCAUUAUAGUUUCACACUUGGGAUAUGACUGCUGUUGUGCUGUAGAACUGGUGAAUUCUGUGUCUUGUACUGUAUCAUCAAUUCCAUGGAUAAGUUUAUACUGGGUAUAGAUUUUCGUUAACUGUAAUUUCAUGAGUUAUGCGCCAACUUUCCCUCCAUCUUGUGCCAACAUCAGUUCUUUUAGGUCUUGGUUCCAAUAGUUUAUCUUUUUUUCCUAAGAGAUUGUCAGUUUGAUUUGCUCCUGGCAAGGUUUUGUAUAUCGUCCCUAUCAUAUGAACAUCCUUAUCUGACUCAAAUCAAAUUCCUUCAAGGUUGCUCUGAUGUCCAAAAGAUGUGUAACUUUAAAAUUGCAUGUAUUUGAAACUACAUUGGUCAGUCCAAAAUUACUUCAAUACUUUCACGGAAAUAAAUGUUUUCCUUGUUGCCAAGUCAUUUACAGUUUCUAUGAAUUUAGUGUUCCAAUUUAUCUGUAAAUUCUGAAAAGCUAUCCAAGGAUUGUUCCAUAGAGUUGUUUUUAUGGAGUGAUAUUGGUUCUAGAAUGUUUCAGUGUAUUCCAUGUUGUUGUAGUGUUCUGAACUAUGAAGUUGUUAAUGCUCUUAGCUUAAUGCUUUGGAAAUAGACACGUAAAAGCCGUGGGCAUCUUCUUGAAGCACACACAGAGUUUACAGCGGUAGCCAUGUUACUGCAUUCUGUGCUCCUACCAGUGUUUUUGAUGUGGACAUUUUCUUUGUUUCUCAUGUGUUGGGUACAAAUGACUACCCACAAUGCACUACAAUAGUUACGUCACAGGAGGUUGGUGGUACCUUAACUGGGAAGGACGGGCUCGUGGUAAUGUCUGGAGCGGAAUUAGUGGAAUGGUAUCAAAACAUAUAGUUUCCAGACAUUAAUAUGAGCCGU